This 80-nucleotide transfer RNA is filed under the name Podarcis lilfordi (Lilford's wall lizard). RNAcentral's name for it is "tRNA.Ile". The stretch from base 13 to 71 matches the Rfam family "tRNA", at positions 8 to 63 of the family's 71-position model. Rfam says of the family: Transfer RNA (tRNA) molecules are approximately 80 nucleotides in length. Their secondary structure includes four short double-helical elements and three loops (D, anti-codon, and T loops). Further hydrogen bonds mediate the characteristic L-shaped molecular structure. tRNAs have two regions of fundamental functional importance: the anti-codon, which is responsible for specific mRNA codon recognition, and the 3' end, to which the tRNAs corresponding amino acid is attached (by aminoacyl-tRNA synthetases). tRNAs cope with the degeneracy of the genetic code in two manners: having more than one tRNA (with a specific anti-codon) for a particular amino acid; and 'wobble' base-pairing, i.e. permitting non-standard base-pairing at the 3rd anti-codon position. Lineage: Eukaryota; Metazoa; Chordata; Lepidosauria; Squamata; Lacertidae. The record is from RNAcentral.
GGCACCACUGGAUAGCUCAGUUGUCUAGAGUGUGGUGCUGAUAACACCAAGCUUGCAGGUUUGAUCCCUGUAUGGGGCCA